ACACACAGGGUGGGUGCAGGGCCCCGUGGGGACACCCCUCCAGGACCCCCAGGGAAAAAGAGGGAGCCCUGCUGCCCUCGCCCACCCACCUCAGCCCAGCCCCCAGCCCGAGCUCACUGGUCAGGCAGACAGGGCCGUCUGCUCCCGAACCCUCUCCAAGUCAAUACAGUACUUGGAGCGCCAGGCUCCCUCCACGAAGAACACCUGGACGUUAACAGGGACCUGCUGUGUCAUUACCACGGCCCCGUCACCGCUCUCCCCACCGACCCUCCCCAGCUGCAGCUCCAGAGCACCGAGGGGGUGAGAAAACGAGGCGCGCCUGGGCCCACGGCCACGUGGCUGCAAGGGCUGGUGAGAUCAGUCUUGCACAGAAAGAUGUGUAUAAAGAAAGAGAAAGAAUGUGUAUUUGACAGUCACACAAAAGAUCCAGGCUUCCAGAUGGCAUAUAAAUCCACACUAAAUAACCCGGCAGGCAUAAACAACUGAGCAGACAAAAAGCCCAUCGGAGACUGAGUUUAAAAAGAUUAUGCCUCCAACAUGAAAAGUAUAAAAGCAUGAGAGCUGUGUGCGUCGUAGAGACGUCCAAACAGACCGGAAAUGUUUCUGCAGAGCAGUCUCAACAGAAUAAUCCCGCGUUGAAAUGUCUGCACCAGUGAAUGUGUGUUUACACACAGUAUUAGCCUAAACCCAAUGAAUCGGUCCUCUUGUAGGGCAGUAACAGUCAAAUUUGGAACUUCCAUACGGUUCCUGAAUACACAGGGGGUAAAAAGAGAACAACCAGCUCCUCUCCAGGGAGAAAGGGCAAGGCUUCCCCCCCAGGAGCGCGGGCGGGGGCCUUGGGGGCCUUGAUCCCCGGGACCCAGGCCACCCACCGGGAGUGGGAUGAGCCCACCCUGGGGCCGGGCAGGCUGCAAAGGACGCAGGUGAGCGUGGAGGGACAGACAGGAAGCAGCAGGAUGCUGGCCCGAGGGCCUCCAGCGCAGGAGGCAGAGCUGCAGGGCAGCGUGCCACAGAGCAGGCCCCUGGGGGAAGGGCCGCAGAAGCCAACCCACGUCCACAGUCACAGCCUCGGCCUCCACCGCGCCCUCUCAGGAACGAGCUUCCGAAAACCGGGGAGGCCGCCAUCAAGGGGUAACUCACAUAAAAUCUGCCUUCUGCCCGGACCCGCCCUCCCCACUGUCCCCGCGGCCCUGAUCCACGUCCACAUCGCCGGCACUGUGCUCAUUUCCCGCCCCAACAGAUACUUCCACAAAAUGUUUUAAUGCCUUUACAUAAGUGACCCUUGAACAACACGGGGGUCAGCGGGCGUAGAAUUUAGUUGUAUCGCGAUCUGCAUUCUCCAGUUCAACCAACAACAGCCCGUGGGGCAUUUAGUAGUGAAAAACAUCCCCACAGAAGGGGGGCCCAUGCAGUUCAAACCCUUGUUUUUCGAAGGUCACCUGUGCAUAUAUGUCUUCAUAGCUCUCCCUCUGUAUGUAAGGAUAUAGAAUGAGAGCAGAGCACCGAUGCUGACCCAGACGGGAUGGAUCCACAGGAGAAAGUGCCUCUGCAGAACGGCUGGGCCCCGGUGUUUUCCUCAGAAAGACAGUGGGUUUGGAGAAGGUGGAUUUCCUUUUUUUCCUUCUGAAAUGAACACUUACUAAAGAUUUUAUGUAACUGAUUAUUUAAUGGGGGAAACAAAGAUGUUAAAACCACUCAGCACCCAGGCAGCCCCGGCAGAGCACCUGUAUUUCUAUGGACACGUCACCUGCAUCAGCAUCCGUUUUCUGCAACUUACAGGGGCGUAAAAUAGCUCAAAGACAAGAAAACCAGAAACGGUGAGCUGGCCAGUAUAUCCAGGUUUUUUGCCUAUUUCAAAGUCUUUCACAGAUUUCCUGACAGUCUCCGGAGUGGUAAUGAUCUCAAAGAUUAUUCUUUGACACACACAAACAGGGCGGGUCUCACAAGAAUGCUAAUUAACCAGCCAGGCCUCCUAGGUUUCUUUUGCAAAUUUAGAUUAAACAACUACUAAUGCCACAAGAUCAGCUUCUGUCUGAAAUUCUCACCAGGAAGCUCAGGCUGGACUCUGCUACCCCGAGGGCAGGCAGGGGCGCCAGGCCAAGCGCCUCUGUGGCCCCUCUAAAUGUGUGCGGAGAAAAGGAAGCCCAGCCAGGGGAACGGGGGCCACGGAUCCAGACACUUGCAAGUGGCAGAGACUCAAAUGCAGGCAGGGGGUGGGAAGCUUUGCAGAGGAGGCCGCGGGGGAAGCAGGGGGCCCGCUGGCCGUGGCUCCCUGUGCGAUGGCGUCCUCUGUGUCGCCCCACAUCGGGGAAGCUGUCAGGUAUCAAUCGAGUCCUGAAGUUAUUUUUAGCUCCCUGGACUGUCCCAGAGAGCACUCUGACUUGGCCUCCCAGGCUGGGGGUGCUGGGGGAAGGGGCUGGGCAGGCUGCUCUGCCAUCGCCCACUCGUAUAUUCAGUCCCGGCCUCUCGUACUCGGGUCCCCGCUUAUCUCAGAUUCCCUGGCCUGCAGGAAGCGACCUUCCCACCACGGAGGGCGGGGACCCCAGGGCCAGACUGGCUUUCCUGGGGGGCUCUGUAGCCUUCACUCCCUAAAGGCAGCUCAGUUCUGUGACAAGUGGCCUGUCACAGUCAAUCACACAAGCAUCAUUCAGAAAUAGGACGUUCUGAGGAAGGCUCUCAAGUUGUCCAAUUAUAUUACAUCCUGGUAAAAAGAACAAAGGACAGUAGGUAGUUUCUCACAAACUUAUACACAGAAUUACCGUUUGUUCUAGUAACUCUGCUUCCGGGUACGUGCACACCUAUCCUCCUGGCUGCGUCACUCACAACAGCACAGGUGGUGACAACGCAACAUCCACUGAUGGGUGAGUGGAUGGACGCAGUGUGUCCAUCACGCGGUGAGUCUCGUUCAGCCUCAGAAGGAGAUUCUGGCACCUGCUGCACAGGGAGGAGCUUGAGGACACUGAGCCGAGUGACAUGAGCCAGACGCACAAGGGCAGCUGCUUCGUGAGUCCACUUCUCUGCCGGAAAGUGGACUGUUGGCCCAGGGCGGGGGCCGGGGCGGCAAGAUGAGAGGGUCCUGGAGAGGACGGGGGUGGUGGCACCUCAGUGCGGGGGACAUUGGGAAGUGGUUACGGUGGAAAAUUUUGUGUAUGUUUUACCACACACACAACAGAGAAGGAAAUUCUGGCAUCUGCGACCAUGUGGAGGAACCCUGAGGGUGUUACACCGAACAAAACAAGCCAGACGCGGAAGGACACACUCCGUCUUGCCCCACUUACAUGAGAAAUUUUGCCUGUUUUCUAGAGAAUUAUUAAUUCCUAUUGAUGCCACUGAGCUGUACACUUAAACUGAUUAAAACGGUAAAAUUUUACAUCUAUUUUACCACAAUAAAAAAAGUUUGAAAGAAAAAACGCCCCCCAGAGUCGUCUUUUUGAACCUAUGCAAAUAGCUGUACCAUCACACAAAAUGAGGAAACUUAGCAAGAAUUCUGUCAGGAAGAACUAGAUGUCAUUUCCGUCUACCAAGUUUUUAUGGGUUACAGACCGUUGAAGAAAGAGAAACUUUCGUGUGUCUGGAAAACAGAACUGGAAACGUCAGCAAUAUUCCGAGCAAACCACCAGUUUCCCACCUUGGUCUGUGGGUCCCAGCAGCUGCGCCCACGCCGUCUGCAUCCAGAGGAGCCUGGAAACCCUGACCUGCACCCUGGAUGAAGCUCUGAGUUGCUGAAGCCAGGAGAACACAAAAGCCUGUUUUGUUUCACUAGUUCAAAGUACCUGGUACCAGUCCUUCUUUGCUGAGGACACACACGAAAAGCCCCAAGUCAUGCCCAGAGGGCACAGGCUGCCGGGGGUGACUCACGUGUUUCUCUCACCGACAACAUGAGAACGGAAGGGGGUCAGAUUCUCUUUUGGGGUACAGUACGUAACAAACGUGAUCAGUGUUUCCCCUGAGAAUAAAGGCGUCCCCAUAUAGCACACAGCUUCUGAAACAUUUAAACGAGUAACGGUUUCCUGUAAACAUAACCAAAGCAGCCUCACAACAGUAACACUUCAAACAAAUCUGAUUAAUUGUAUAAUCGCUCUCUUUAUAAGGUGAACGGCCUUUGGGAUUCUCCAGGGGCACUCUGGGAAGUCUCAAUAAUAGCUUUAGGUAUAAAAGAUAAUCCUGAAAACAUUUUUUUUUUUCUAAAUUCAGGGUCCGACCUUUGGAAGCUCUGUCAGAGUCCACCUGGGCACUUAAGAUGGGGUCAUGGAUGCCUGAGAACCAGGACAUGGUUAUCAAUGAACGAAACUAAGAAAACCUUAAGCUCCUCAUAAGUGAUCAACCUUUGUUCUUUGUGGGGCUGUUUUUCCCCUUAAAACAUAAAGCAUCAAAGUUAUUGUUUUGGGGACUUCCCUGGCGCUCCAGUGGUUAGGACGCUGCGCUUCCACUGCAGGGGGCGUGGGUUUGAUCCCUGGUCGGGGAAUGUGGGAAAUGUGGCGAGCAUUGCCCUCUGAGGAGUGCGCCAUUAAGACCCUCCUAAGCCUCAGGGCCCGAUUGUACUCUCCUUGGUAUGCAUCCUGGACUUUAUGGUCAUGAACGUAAAAAAGGAGAUGGCCUUUGGCCAGAUCGCUCCAGGGACCUGCUCAGAUACUGAGAGUCCCUGGUUGUUCCCUAAAGCUAGGAAAAGCAACCCUGGAGGGGAAGUUGGUGCCUUUGUGGAACAAGCGAUAAACCCGCUCCCCAGAGCCAGUCCAGUCCGCCGGCGGCGAGCAGCAGGAUGAGCAGCAGGAUGUUCGAUGUUCGCGGCGCCGCGCCCCGGGCGCUGAGACCGAGCCCCUCGAGACAGUGGCAUUCCUCUCUUUUAGGGCACAAUGACUGUGCAAAGUCCCUGCAGAUAUGGUGGCGACUGAGCCGAGAUAAAAGACCAGUUCUACAGAACAAUGCUUAUACAAAGUUUCUGCUUUAGGGCGCCAUGUCUGUUAAGAGUCCCUGCUUUAGGGGUGUAUAUAUAUGACUAUGCUUUGUUAUUAAACUUGCUUUGCAACCAUCAGUUGUUUGUGCCCUUCUGAUCCCAUACCUUGGUGCUUUCCGUUCCCUACCCCCUCUCGUCGAUUGUUGCUGCACUUUGAGGACCCGCCGCGGCUGGCGGCAGGUGGCGCCCGAACAGGGACCUGACGAGAGGGACAUCUGAAUCUCGGUAGGUGAAUCCCCGGAGUUAAGAGUGAAAGUGUGGCCACAUAGUAAAAUUGAUAGUAACUCGGGGCAAUAGUCAGAAGUAAAAGAAUAUGGGACAAAAAGGAUCUAAGGAGCGACAAUUGUUCGCUCAAGUUUUACUUUCGAUGUUAAAAGCUCGCGGCACUACUGUGACCGCUUCUCAAGUUUCUGAUUUUCUACAACAUGUUUAUGAAGUCUCUCCUUGGUUUCCAGAAGGGGGCUCUGUGGAUGCCGCUAUAUGGAAGAGGGUUGGAGAGGAUCUAAAAAGGCAUUACGAUAAAAAUGGACCGGGUGGGGUACCCGUUAUUACGUUUAGUAACUUGUGUGAUAUUUCCCCUCCGGUCCCGUCUGCUCCCCCCUUGAUGGCUAAAAUGGCUCUUGAAACCUCCUCUGAUGAGGACGUCUCUUUCGAUUUGGCUGAUGCGGAAGCUAAAUAUGAAGCUGAAAAAUACCCCGAUGAACAUAUUCUGGCUCAGGGUAUUGGUCAGUCCCAUUCUCCGCAACAAAGCGCACAAUUGCUGCAUUGGCAAGAUUCUGAAGGUUUAGGAGACCAAAUCGUGGCUUUAAAGUUGAAGGUGCGUUUGAUCUGCCAUGCGCUAAAUAUCCUUGGAUUUGUGUGCCUCAACACGCUUGUAAUGAAACCGACUGGGAUUGGAACAAAGUAAAAAUGCACAUUUUAAGUGUAUGGACUGAUGGACACAUUAGUUUGGACAUACAAAAACUUAAUGCGGAAAUAACAAGCAAUUCAAGAAGCUCAUCUACAAGAAGACGGGCCCCAACAAUUAAUUCAAGGACUCUUGGAUCAGCUUCAAUGGUUAAACCCAAUGCAUUGGUUUCAAAAUGGACUCACAGGAUUGACUACCGUGGGCUCAUGUGUAUUGUUGAUUUUAAUUGCAUUACCUUGUUUAUUUCGCUUUAUUGUUGGCCGUCUCGCUACUCUACAUCAGGAUGUGUAUGGGCUGAAACUGCAUUAUCAAGCUUUAAAAAAUAAAAGAGGGGGAAAUGUGGCGAGCAUUGCCCUCUGAGGAAUGCGCCAUUAAGACCCUCCUAAGCCUCAGGGCCCGAUUGUACUCUCCUUGGUAUGCAU
Physeter macrocephalus (sperm whale) is the source of this 6283-nucleotide RNA transcript. RefSeq lists it as uncharacterized. The transcript is spliced from 3 exons. The record is from RefSeq and is a predicted model, not a curated record. NCBI's taxonomy places the organism in Eukaryota, Metazoa, Chordata, Mammalia, Artiodactyla, Physeteridae.